UGGGCACCGUAACCCGGCUUC
Molecule: non-coding RNA, 21 nt
Filed under: Arabidopsis thaliana (thale cress)
Lineage: Eukaryota; Viridiplantae; Streptophyta; Magnoliopsida; Brassicales; Brassicaceae
Source: RNAcentral